RNAcentral lists this transfer RNA (80 nucleotides) under Euglena undulata. Its description in RNAcentral is "tRNA-Leu". It matches the Rfam family "tRNA". Rfam says of the family: Transfer RNA (tRNA) molecules are approximately 80 nucleotides in length. Their secondary structure includes four short double-helical elements and three loops (D, anti-codon, and T loops). The record is from RNAcentral. Lineage: Eukaryota; Euglenozoa; Euglenophyceae; Euglenales; Euglenaceae.
UCCUUCGUGGUGAAAUGGUAAACACGUAUGAUUCAAAAUCAUGUGCUUUAAGCUUGCCGGUUCAAGUCCGGUCGAAGGUA